This 447-nucleotide ribosomal RNA is filed under the name uncultured bacterium. Its description in RNAcentral is "bacterial SSU rRNA". It matches the Rfam family "Bacterial small subunit ribosomal RNA", at positions 355 to 825 of the family's 1533-position model. The record is from RNAcentral.
UGGGGAAUAUUGGACAAUGGGCGCAAGCCUGAUCCAGCCAUGCCGCGUGAGUGACGAAGGCCUUAGGGUUGUAAAGCUCUUUUGGCGGGGACGAUAAUGACGGUACCCGCAGAAUAAGCCCCGGCUAACUUCGUGCCAGCAGCCGCGGUAAUACGAAGGGGGCUAGCGUUGUUCGGAAUUACUGGGCGUAAAGCGCACGUAGGCGGACUUUCAAGUCAGGGGUGAAAUCCCGGGGCUCAACCUCGGAACUGCCUCUGAUACUGUUGGUCUUGAAUCCGGUAGAGGUGGGUGGAAUUCCUAGUGUAGAGGUGAAAUUCGCAGAUAUUAGGAAGAACACCGGUGGCGAAGGCGGCCCACUGGACCGGUAUUGACGCUGAGGUGCGAAAGCGUGGGGAGCAAACAGGAUUAGAUACCCUUGUAGUCCCUGAGCGGGCUGGCAAGGCGCAU